UGGGGAAUAUUGCACAAUGGGGGAAACCCUGAUGCAGCGACGCCGCGUGAGCGAUGAAGGCUUUCGAGUCGUAAAGCUCUGUCCUAUGGGAAGAUAAUGACGGUACCAUAGAAGAAAGCCCCGGCUAAUUACGUGCCAGCAGCCGCGGUAAUACGUAAGGGGCGAGCGUUGUCCGGAAUUAUUGAGCGUAAAGAGUGCGUAGGCGGCAAAUUAAGUCAGAUGUGAAAACUAAGGGCUCAACCCAUAGAUUGCAUCUGAAACUGAUAUGCUUGAGUCAAGGAGAGGAAAGUGGAAUUCCUAGUGUAGCGGUGGAAUGCGUAGAUAUUAGGAGGAAUACCGGUGGCGAAGGCGACUUUCUGGACUUGAACUGACGCUGAGGCACGAAAGCGUGGGGAGCAAACAGG
RNAcentral lists this ribosomal RNA (404 nucleotides) under Verrucomicrobiota bacterium. Its description in RNAcentral is "Verrucomicrobia bacterium partial 16S ribosomal RNA". It matches the Rfam family "Bacterial small subunit ribosomal RNA", at positions 355 to 776 of the family's 1533-position model. The record is from RNAcentral. Lineage: Bacteria; Pseudomonadati; Verrucomicrobiota.